CUUGAGCCCAGGCUGGGCACAGCACCUCCAAAACUGCCAUCCACAUCCAGAUCUGCCAGCAUCCACCAGGCAUCAUUGCUCCCAUAAUCCUGAGUGAGCUCCAAGGCUGAAACUGGCACAGGCUGCCCAGCACCAGGUUAGACACUGGAGGGGUGCUCUGGGAAAGUGUGCUGGUUGGCCCCCAUGCCCAGGGUAGUAAAGUUUAAUGCACACAGCCCCUGCAGAAAGUUUAUGUGCCCCAGCUGCCCCCACAAUGGGCAGUCCCUGGUAGAACGGUUCGAUGAGCUCAGACUUGCUGCUCGCUGGAUGGAG
Non-coding RNA from Pelobates cultripes (western spadefoot toad), 312 nucleotides. The record is from the annotation of a GenBank genome assembly. NCBI's taxonomy places the organism in Eukaryota, Metazoa, Chordata, Amphibia, Anura, Pelobatidae.